Non-coding RNA from Pelobates cultripes (western spadefoot toad), 386 nucleotides. NCBI's taxonomy places the organism in Eukaryota, Metazoa, Chordata, Amphibia, Anura, Pelobatidae. The record is from the annotation of a GenBank genome assembly.
GCAUGUUCUAUACACCAAAACUGCUUCAUUAAGCUAAAGUUGUUCAGGUGACUAUAGUGUCCCUUUAACUUUGUUACACCCCCUGCGCUGUAAAUCAGACAACCAGUCCUGUUACUUCCUGGUUGUUUAGCUCAGUGGUGAUAAACUCAAGAGACAUUCAAUUGCUCAGAGCACCUGCCUGUAAAGACUUCUCAUUGAGCUGCAUUGGGAAGUCUGUGAUUGGACAGUCAUAGAAAGCCUGGUUGGAGUUCGAAGGGGAGGACUUGCAAAGGCUGCAGGCAAGAUACCUGCAGAUUUUGCAUGAUGCAUUUAAAUAUACCUACAAUAAGAAGAAAAAAGAGUAAUUAAAUCUGUGCAUGUUUACAUCUGUGGUGUAUUUACUAAAC